UUUAGGGUUUUCUCAAAACGCGAAUCUGCAAUUUUGUAGAUCUAACAGUUACUUGCUUAGCAGGAGAGCUAAGAAAAUUGCAGUGGAUGGCAGAGAUUAUGUUGAUUUCUCCUAUCCUGCACCACCUGUUGGAAUUGAAGCUACACCAAAUAAAGCCGAUGAGAAAUUUGCAUCAAGAAAAUCGAUUGAGGAAGAGGUAAUGGUAUCUUUGAGAAAUGAGAGAUCACUAUUAUUGGAAAAUGUGGUAUGGGCGGAGUGGGUAAAAUAACACUUGUAUGGCUUAAAAUUCACGUAGAAGCUUCGGAAAUAUUCUUGUAAUCGCUGAAUACAAGUUUUAUGUAAAUAAACUUUCACAACGGAAAUAGAAGUAAACUGAAGGAAGAUAGCCUGCACAAUGAGCAAUAGCUAUUCAUCUAGCAACAUUUGUAGUCUCAUCUCGAGGCGAAUUAUGUUUUAAUUUGCCAUGCGUAUACGAGGCUCAUCGUACCCCGAUGCCUCCAAAAGGCUCUUAAGGCAAAUCGGCGUUGACCAGCUAUUCUCGGAAUUUGUAAUUGCAUAAAACUUCCGAACCAAUUUUGUAAUCACAACCAAUUUUGUAAUCACAUAGAAUUCUCUUACCUUUUGGUAAGGAGACCAUUCCACGAGGCAAGGUGAUAUGCCAAUGUUCUUCGUGCUUUGAAGUUUACCUAGAUCUAUAUUUCAAUUGUUGCUAAAGAAUUUGAUGAGUUUUCUAAGCCAAUGUUUUGCUUAAGUCUUGAGUUGUGGAUUCGGUUGAAUGAUUUGCUUACUUGUUGGGAGAAUGAGUAAUCUCAAUGUCUUAAUAUAGUAACUCUAUUAUGCCCUUUGUAAUAUUGGUUUGAUUUGACGGUUUGUUGUCAAAUCGAAGGAUACUAUCUCUAAUUCAUUAAUGUUGAAUGAGAUAGGAAAAUUGACCAAUCUAAUUAUGUUAGAGUUUUUGAAAAUGAGGAAACAACACUUGACAAGGAUUUCACCAGGAAUAAAUAUAUGUGAAAGUAGAACAUUCAAGUUUCUCGACCUUGAGCGAGUUGGAAUCCUAAUCGUAAUUGACUGCACUAACACUAAUUGGAUGUUCUAGAGAUGUGAUUCACAAUAAUUUGGGUCUUUCCUUCAAGUUAACACGACACUUCAAAAGUGGACGAAAGUCGUUUUCCCCCUGUGUCUUUGCUGUCAAAUAUUUAUGACAUGAGCAUAGAUCUCCAGGUUAUUGAGACCACCUCAUUGGGUUAUUGAACCUGCCUCCUGAUGAGAAAGAGCGAUCGUGUACUUUCAAGCUAAAAUGGCUCAAAGAAUGCGUUGACCGAGUUGCUACUUGAUGAAUUUCUUUACUUCAUGUUACCUUAAUGUAGGAUAUUUGAGAUAUGGUUCCAUUUCUUCUAUUUGUAAUUGAAGGUGUAAGAAAUGCAAGUUCUCCAACUUUUGAGCCUAGAACGACUAGACCUCGUUGGGUCUGACAGUAAAACUAUUCUACGCUCUUGAAUAUGGGAAACUUUCCAUUGAUGGAAGAAGAUCACGGGAGCGGAACAAGGAGAAGAAAUGACUAACGAGCUCUUAUUUCCCGGUUAGCAGGAGUUUAGCAAGCUACUGAUGCAUUUUUUUUUAUGAAGCACGCUCGAGAAUCUCCAUUUCUUUGAGAAGUCAACAUUAAAAGCUGUACUGAAAUGAGACGCUUGUCCUAAGAUCCGAGAGUGUACGAGUCUGAGGAAUGGGGGAAAAAUCAAAGAUGCUUAGGCCAAGAUUAUCUAAAUAAAACGGUAUAGAAGAUCUUCAAUUCUAAGGUUUGUGUUGUGCCUCUGUAUAACUAAAUUAUAUUUGUCUCAAUCAUUAAUACGCCCCGCUUUAGUGUUGUAUAACAUGUUCUUUAACUAGUAAAUUCACUUAUUCAGUUAGUUAUUUCUACUUGUCCAAAUAUUUCCAGUUAGAAAUGUGAAGCAUCAAAAUUGUAAUUUCUAGGCAAGUCAUCUCUUUCUUAUUGCAAUCUCUUCUACCAG
Molecule: long non-coding RNA, 2009 nt
Filed under: Capsicum annuum
Lineage: Eukaryota; Viridiplantae; Streptophyta; Magnoliopsida; Solanales; Solanaceae
Description: long non-coding RNA (CANN_LNC000239)
Source: RNAcentral